AGAGUUUGAUUCUGGCUCAGGAUGAACGCUAGCGAUAGGCCUAACACAUGCAAGUCGAGGGGCAGCACAUGAAGUAGCAAUACGGAUGGUGGCGACCGGCGCACGGGUGAGUAACGCGUAUGCAACCUGCCUACAACAGGGGAAUAACCCGUUGAAAGACGGACUAAUACCCCAUAACACAGGGAUCCCGCAUGGGAAUAUUUGUUAAAGAUUUAUCGGUUGUAGAUGGGCAUGCGUUCCAUUAGCUUGUUGGUGAGGUAACGGCUCACCAAGGCAACGAUGGAUAGGGGAACUGAGAGGUUUAUCCCCCACACUGGUACUGAGACACGGACCAGACUCCUACGGGAGGCAGCAGUGAGGAAUAUUGGUCAAUGGACGCAAGUCUGAACCAGCCACGUCGCGUGAAGGAAGACGGCCCUACGGGUUGUAAACUUCUUUUGUAAGGGAAUAAAGUGUAGUACGUGUACUAUUUUGCAUGUACCUUACGAAUAAGGAUCGGCUAACUCCGUGCCAGCAGCCGCGGUAAUACGGAGGAUCCGAGCGUUAUCCGGAUUUAUUGGGUUUAAAGGGUGCGCAGGCGGGAGAUUAAGUCGGCGGUGAAAUUUUGCAGCUCAACUGUAAAAGUGCCUUCGAAACUGGUUUCCUUGAGUGUGGAUGAAGUAGGCGGAAUUUGUGGUGUAGCGGUGAAAUGCAUAGAUAUCACGAGGAACUCCGAUUGCGCAGGCAGCUUACUAAACCAUAACUGACGCUCAGGCACGAAGGCGUGGGGAUCAAACAGGAUUAGAUACCCUGGUAGUC
This 798-nucleotide ribosomal RNA is filed under the name uncultured Porphyromonadaceae bacterium. RNAcentral's name for it is "bacterial SSU rRNA". It matches the Rfam family "Bacterial small subunit ribosomal RNA", at positions 8 to 795 of the family's 1533-position model. The record is from RNAcentral. Lineage: Bacteria; Pseudomonadati; Bacteroidota; Bacteroidia; Bacteroidales; Porphyromonadaceae.